Molecule: ribosomal RNA, 522 nt
Filed under: uncultured archaeon
Lineage: Archaea
Description: bacterial SSU rRNA
Rfam family: Archaeal small subunit ribosomal RNA
Source: RNAcentral
ACGGGGUGCAGCAGGCGCGAACACUUUACAAUGCGGGAAACCGCGAUAAGGGAACCCCGAGUGCCAGCAUCAAAUGUUGGCUGUCCAGAUGAUUAAAAAUCAUUUGUUAGCAAGGGCCGGGCAAGACCGGUGCCAGCCGCCGCGGUAACACCGGCGGCCCGAGUGGUAGCCGUUUUUAUUGGGUCUAAAGGGUCCGUAGCCGGCUUGAUAAGUCCUUUGGGAAAUCUGGCAGCUUAACUGUCAGGCUUCUAAGGGAUACUGUCAGGCUUGGGACCGGAAGAGGUAAGGGGUACUCCAGGGGUAGGAGUGAAAUCUUGUAAUCCCUGGGGGACCAUCUGUGGCGAAGGCGCCUUACCAGAACGGGUCCGACGGUGAGGGACGAAAGCUAGGGGAGCAAACCGGAUUAGAUACCCGGGUAGUCCUAGCUGUAAACGAUGCUCGCUAGGUGUCAGACACGGUGCGACCGUGUUUGGUGCCGCAGGGAAGCCGUUAAGCGAGCCACCUGGAAGUACGUCGCAAGGC